GAUGAACGCUAGCGGCAGGCCUAACACAUGCAAGUCGAGGGGCAUCAUGGCGUAGCAAUACGCUGAUGGCGACCGGCGCACGGGUGCGUAACGCGUAUGGAACCUACCCACCGCAGGGGGAUAACCCGCCGAAAGGCGGACUAAUACCCCAUGGUUCCCCGACCCUGCCUGGGUUGGGGGUAAAGCCUACGGGCGGCGGUGGAUGGCCCUGCGUGCCAUUAGCUGGCUGGUGGGGUAACGGCCCACCAGGGCGACGAUGGCUAGGGGGUCUGAGAGGACGAUCCCCCACACUGGGACUGAGACACGGCCCAGACUCCUACGGGAGGCAGCAGUGGGGAAUAUUGCACAAUGGGCGAAAGCCUGAUGCAGCGACGCCGCGUGAGGGAUGACGGCCUUCGGGUUGUAAACCUCUUUCAGCAGGGAAGAAGCGAAAGUGACGGUACCUGCAGAAGAAGCACCGGCUAACUACGUG
This 472-nucleotide ribosomal RNA is filed under the name uncultured bacterium. Its description in RNAcentral is "bacterial SSU rRNA". It matches the Rfam family "Bacterial small subunit ribosomal RNA", at positions 28 to 507 of the family's 1533-position model. The record is from RNAcentral.